ACACAUGCAAGUCGAACGGGUGUCGCAAGACAUCAGUGGCAGACGGGUGAGUAACACGUGGGAACCUUCCUAGGGGUACGGAACAACUCAGGGAAACUUGAGCUAAUACCGUAUACGUCCGUAAGGAGAAAGAUUCAUCGCCCCUAGACGGGCCCGCGUCGGAUUAGCUAGUUGGUGGGGUAACGGCCUACCAAGGCGACGGGUAGCUGGUCUGAGAGGAUGGCCAGCCACAUUGGGACUGAGACACGGCCCAGACUCCUACGGGAGGCAGCAGUGGGGAAUCUUGCGCAAUGGCCGCAAGGCUGACGCAGCGACGCCGCGUGUGGGAUGACGGCCUUCGGGUUGUAAACCACUGUCGGGAGGGACGAAUACUCGGCUUCGAAUAGGAGCCCGAGGGUGACGGUACCUCCAAAGGAAGCACCGGCUAACUCCGUGCCAGCAGCCGCGGUAAUACGUAGGGUGCAAGCGUUAAUCGGAAUUACUGGGCGUAAAGCGCGCGCAGGCGGUUUUGUAAGUUUGUCGUGAAAGCCCCGGGCUCAACCUGGGAAUUGCGAUGAAGACUGCAAGGCUUGAAUCUGGCAGAGGGGGGUAGAAUUCCACGUGUAGCAGUGAAAUGCGUAGAGAUGUGGAGGAACACCGAUGGCGAAGGCAGCCCCCUGGGUCAAGAUUGACGCUCAUGCACGAAAGCG
Molecule: ribosomal RNA, 689 nt
Filed under: uncultured soil bacterium
Lineage: Bacteria
Description: bacterial SSU rRNA
Rfam family: Bacterial small subunit ribosomal RNA
Source: RNAcentral